UCAUGUGAUUGUUAUAACUUGAGUGAAUAGAUGUUUUACUUAUAAUCUAAUUGUCUAAAUUUGAAGAAAUUAGUGUCUAAGCUAGAAACAGAGCUUACUUAGUUAAGACUAUGUUUUAAGCACUUCCUGUUAGCUUCUCCCCAUACAAGAACUGUUUGAGUCCAUCAACUCAAUUUGGCUCCCUUGUCACACACAUUCACGGAAUGCUUUUCUUUUCCCUAGUGACCUUUGUGACACUCCUAAUUAUUCAGUGUCACUCCUCCUAGGUUACAGAGUAACCAUGCACAAUUCUGUUUGAUGCAGUGCCCUCAGUACCUAGCACAGGGCCUGGCACAGACAAUAAGCAUUCAUAGAACGAACGAGGAUAGGUGCCAUGCCAUGCCUUGGUGCUCUAUACACUCCCUGUGCUUGAGGGCAGUGCCAGCACGCAGCAGUUGUUCAGUCAACAAGGGAAGAAGGCAGGCAAGAGAGAAGACGCAGCGAGAGAGAACAAAGCAGGAGGCCUGUAAUAGGAAGCAGCUGACCUGUGGCGUUCUGACUUGAUCAAGCUCCACGAACACUUCUCAGCAUUUCACUGCUAAGAGCGUUUGUAUGAGGUGACUUCAUUAUUUCCAAAUGGUUGUUGAAACUCUUAAAGCCUGUUGAGUCCUAACGGCAAAGGGUGCCCACACUGAACUGGCACGUGGUGCACCUGGAGGGCGUUUAUGUGGCCGGGCUCCCUGCCAAAGGACUGGUCACACAGGGCUGUCCUCUCCAUGUAUUGUAUCUUCAGCCCAGUCAGUUAUCCACGUCGGCCCUCUGCACAGGUGCGGCUUGCCUGGAGUCAGCUACUCCCACAGCAAAGCAAAUACACCCAUACUGGGGCCUCUUCUAGCCUUUAAUGGCAGACGGGCCCACGGGCAACCACAACUCACAGAACCUGGGGCUGGAUACAUAAAAGGACAUUGCCUACCAUGUGCGGGAGGUCAGUCACCAUCACUUGCAUGUUAGCCACCUCACAGACCACGGGGAUCUGACUUUGGAGAAGCACUGAAGGAGUCCAGCAUCACAGGAAAAAGUACACGGAAUCUGGAUCCAACGUAUCAGACGGAAGGCCAGGUGAGGACACAGUCUGACAACAGCUGCCUACAAACCAGAAGGAGGACCCUCACCAGAAACCAAAUGUGCCUGCGCCUCGACCUUGGACUUCUGCCUCCAAAACUGUGAGCAGUGAGGGUAACAGGAGACCUCUUCCAGAGACGUGAGGGUCAAACAAGAUGACAAAAUGAAGCAUUCAUCUCAGUACCGGGCACUUCCUAAGCUCGCUGGAUAGAAGCCUGCUGUCAUGAGCGUCGCCUCUCUGGGCACGGACAUGGCUUUGGAGGACAAGUUGAUUGGUGGGAUCCUUACAACCGUCAGUGUUUCUGAGCUAAACUACUCUAUGCGCUGUGGGGUGUUCCUUAUUCCUUUGUUGAUCCUGGCACUGGUGCAUACACCUGGAGUGCCCAUCUUCUUCUUGGCACAUAUCCAGACUUCUGAGUGCCUGAAGGCCAUGCUUCCUGAAGCCAAAGAUAUGGAUGCACUUGUGAAUGUUGACAGUGUACUCCUGGCACAUACUUCAUUGAUGGCAGAAUGUUUCUUCUUCUUACCGCCAUUCUUUGAAGAAGCCAUCUGCAAGGGCUCAAGUUGGAAAAGUAUCCCUGAUAUUUCUAUAGAAAAAUACAGUCCACAGCACCUAACUUAUUGGUGGAGACAUACCUAUGUCAGCACCGCAAGGAGUAACCUGUCUUUGAAAUCCAGCCGAUGAGUCUCUUUGUGUGAAAAUGCCCAGGGAAAACAACAACCUGCCCCAAUCUAAAUCCAAAAACAGUGGCUGCACAACUGAAAUCACUAAGACCAGGGGGACUAACAUUUGUGAAAGUCAUGUUUAUGAGCAUCUUGUUCUAUUUCCACGGAGUGAACAUCACACAUCUUUGGCAUCUCCUAUAAGUAGUCUGUUCUGCCAGCCAAGAACACACAGAAUGGAGACUGGUCUCUCAGCAAUUGCAUGUUGGUUGUAUUUGAAGCUAUUAAAUCUUGAACACAUGGAAAAGAAUAUGUCAUAAUGCUACCAGUGGAGAAAAGAAAGUGCACACAAAAUCUAAUGUGAAGACAGCAUGUUGGGAAAUGAAGCAAAAGGGAAUUUUUCAUUACUUGCAUCUGGGUUUUAUGUUGCAAUAAAAAGUAUCUGGCUACCACAGUUGGUUUUAUGUACACCUCGUCUAUAACUACCUAAGCACUCCAUUGGGCUAGAAUUUAAUCAAAUAUCCUGGUUUCUAGUUAGUAGAUUUGUGGCAAGCAUCAGUAAUAAAAAAAGCUGAAAUAUUCCUUCCUUAGACUCAAUAAAUGUUCCCUUCUCAAAUUCAGGUUGAAAAGAAGGAAUUCGCUGACGGAGACAGGGAAUGUGUUCUCUCACUUUUGUUUUUCAACUUACACAACACAUUUAUUUUAUUGAGGACUCUUGCAUUCAAUUUGAAGAUUCACAGCCUUGGAAUUUAUUUUUGAAGUGAUUUUGAAAAAGAAGCAGCACAUCAUUUUAAUGAAUUUUUUUCUGUGAUCAAUAAAAGUCAGCCUUAACUUUACCCAUCAUUCUUCACUCCUACACCUUGCCCCAACUUCACAUUUUGUUCAAACUUGUCAAAUUGCAAGUAAAAUCCUACUUCCCAAAAUACAAGAAACUUUGAAAAAUGAAAUUAAGCCACAAAAGUUUGACAAUGAGGAAAGGAACAAGAUUUACUUGUAUAUGUUCUUUAUGAUUUAUUUGGAACAUCUAAAAGGCCCUUUACUUGUGUGUGUGCAAAAUUUUUUAAAAAUACUAUAAGAAUAGGUAGCUCAUAAACUCCUUUGGAGAAGGCAGGAAGAGGUAAUGUGAAAAUAAAUUAGCUUCUUAAACCCACAGCUGCACCCUCUCUCACCUAACAGGGUCUGUAACCUAAACUUUUGCAGGCUUCAAGAAGGAUAGUGGAGAGUUUGGUUUACAAGGAACUGGAUCCAUUUUAUUCAGCACUUGUCAGACAACACCUAAAGUCUUGUGUUUGGCUAAUGUUCUUUAGUGUUUGCAUAAGGCUUUCAUAUGUAUCCUUUUAGUGGAGAGAUAUUACCCUUGUGCUACUGAUGAACAGAGAUUCUGAGACAUCCAUUACUUUCCCAAUGUGAUGUAAUCAUCCCAGAGUCUUAGGGUUAGAAGAGACCAAGGAAGUCAUCCAGACAAUGAGGGAGAGUAAUGGAUUUGAGAUCAGAAGGUCUCCCAGCCUCCUGAUCCCAUGCUUGAACCUUAUAGCCCAUGUCCUUUCAGCCUAUUCCUCUUGCUAGGAGAUUUCAAAUUCUCCCUGGGCCAGAGGUCCCUCAGGCCUCUUCACUCCUCUUCUCCCACCUUCACCCACAGAUAUACAGCACAGUAAAGAGUUAUGCAAGCUGAGUGUAAGUCCUAGAUCUACACUAACAUUGUGUCAACUUAGGUGUGUCUCUUAACUUCGCCAUGUCUCAUCAGCUGGGAAUGACAGCAGUACUUAUCUCAUGGGCUCAUGCUGUGAGUGUUCAAUGAGAUGAUACAUGGACAUCUUUCAAUAGCACAGAAUAAGCAACUAUUGAGUUUUCAGCUUGAUUACUUCUGCCAUCACCUAGUUUAGCCCUACAUUAUUACUCCUUAGAAACCAUACUGAUCUCCUAACUAGUCUUCCCACAUCCAUUUGUACUCUGUCCAAUUUAUUCUCCAUACUAGAGUUGAGUGAACUUCCUAAAAUAUAAAUCUAGUCAAUAAAGAAAGAAAUAGAAGAGGAUAACAAAAAAUGGAAAAAUCUUCCAUGCUCAUGGAUUGGAAGAAUCAACAUCAUCAAAAUGUCCAUUCUCCCAAAAGCAAUUUAUAGAUUCAAUGUGAUACCAAUCAAGAUACCAAAGACAUUCUUCUCAGAUCUGGAAAAAAAUUAUGCUGAAAUUCAUAUGGAAGCACAGGAGACCUUGAAUAGCUAAAGCAAUCUUGUACAACAAAAACAAAGCCGGAGGCAUCACAAUACCAGAUUUCAGGACAUACUACAGGGCAGUUGUAAUCAAAACAGCAUGGUACUGGUACAGAAACAGAUGGAUAGACCAAUGGAACAGAAUAUAUUGAAACACCAGAAAUCAACCCAAACAUCUCAGCCAACUUAUAUUUGAUCAAGGAUCUAAAAGCAAUUCCUGGAGCAAGGAUAGUCUAUUCAAUAAAUGGUGCUGGGAAAACUGGAUUUCCACGUGCAGAAGCAUGAAGGAAGACCCCUACCUUACACCUUACACAAAAAUCCACUCAACAUGGAUUAAAGACCUAAAUCUACGACCCGACACCAUCAAAUUAUUAGAGAACAUUGGAGAAACCCUGCAAGAUAUAGGCACAGGCAAAGACUUCUUGGAAAAGACCCAGGAGGCAGAGGCAGUCAAAGUCAAAAUUAGCUAUUGGGAUUGUAUCAAAUUGAGAAGUUUUUGUACGGCAAAAGAAACAGUCAGGAAAGUGAAGAGGCAACCGACAGAAUGGGAAAAAAUAUUUGCAAACUAUGCAACAGAUAAAGGGUUAAUAACCAGAAUCUACAAAGAGAUCAAGAAACUCCACAACAUCAAAACAAACAACGCAUUUAAGAGAUGGGCCAAGGACCUCAAUAGACAUUUUUCAAAAGAGGAAAUCCAAAUGGCCAACAGACACAUGAAAAAAUGUUCAGGAUCACUAGCAAUCAGGGAAAUGCAAAUCAAAACCACAUUGAGGUUUCACCUCACCCCGGUUAGAAUGGCUCACAUUCAGAAAUCUACCAACAACAGAUGCUGGAGAGGAUGUGGGGGAAAAGGGACACUAACCCACUAUUGGUGGGAAUGCAAACUGGUUAAGCCACUAUGGAAGUCAGUCUGGAGAUUCCUCAGAAACCUGAAGAUAACCCUACUAUAUAACCCAGCCAUCCCACUCCUUGGAAUUUACUCAAAGGAAAUUAAAUUGGCAAACAAAAAAGCUGUCUGCACCUUAAUGUCUAUUGCAGCUCAAUCCACAAUAGCUAAGACCUGGAAUCAACCUAAAUGCCCAUCAACAGUAGACUGGAUAAAGAAAUUAUGGGAUAUGUACUCUAUAGAAUACUAUACAGCAGUAAAAAAAAAAAAAAAAAAAAAAAAACAAGGAAAUCCAGUCAUUUGCAACAAAAUGGAGGAAUCUGGAAAACAUCAUGCUGAGUGAAAUAAGCCAGUCCCAAAGGGACAAAUAUCAUAUGUUCUCCCUGAUCGGUGACAACUAACCGAGCACCAAAAAGGAAACCUGUUGAAUGAAAUGGACACUAUGAGAAACGGUGACUUGAUCAGCCCUUUCCCUGACUGUUGAUGAACAACUUAAUACUUUAUCCCUUUUAGUAUUUUUUUGUUCUACUUAAUACUAUUGGUUGAACUCUGUAAUUAAUACACAAUUAUUCUUAAGUGUUGAAACUUAACUGAAAAGUGAUCCCUGUUAAAUAUAAGAGUGGGAAUAAGAGAGGGAAGAGAUGUACAGUUUGGGACAUGCUCAAUCAGACUUGCCCCAAACGAUAGAGUUAGAAACAUGCCAGGGGAUUCCAAUUCAAUCCCAUCAAGAUUGCAUGUACCAAUGCCAUCUCACUAGUCCAAAUGAUCAAUUUCAGUUCACAAUUGAUCAUAAUGAUAAGACUAAGAGUCAAAGGGAUCACAUAAACAAGACUAGUGUCUGAAAAUACUAACCAAUAGAAUAAAAAAAGAGAGAGAGAACGAUCCAACAUGGGAAGCAAGAUACUCAGCAGACUCGUAGAAUGGCAGACAUCCUAAACAGCACUCCGGCCUCACAAUCAGCCCUUAAGGCAUUCGGAUCUGGCUGAAAAGCCCAUGAGAGUAUUUCAGGCAUGGAAAGCCAAGACACUCUGGCAAAAAAAAAAAAAAAAAAAACUAAAUGAAAGAUCUCUGCAAGUGAGAUCCCAGUGGAAAGAACAGGUCAUCAAAGAAGGAGGUACCUUUCUCUGAAGGGAAGAGAGAACUUCCACUUUGACUAUGAACUUGUCUAAAUAAGAUCAGAGUUGGCAAACUCAAAAGGCCUCCAUAGCCUUGGCAACUCAUGAUGAGAGCCUAGGGUGAUUACUGACACCAUAAACAAGAGUGUCAAUUUGUUAAGUCAACAAUAGGAGUCACUGUGCACUUCCUCCUCAUGUAGGAUCUCUGUCCUUAAUGUGUUGUACAUUGUGAUUUAAUGCUAUCACUAGUACUCAAACAGUAUUUUACACUUUGUGUUUCUGUGUGGGUGCAAACUGUUGAAAGCUUUACUUAAUAUAUGCUAAAUUGAUCUCCUGUAUAUAAAGAGAAUUGAAAAUGAAUCUUGAUGUGAAUGGAAGGGGAGGGGAGUGGGAGAGGGGAGGGUUGCGGGUGGGAAGGAAGUUAUGGGGGGGAAAAGCCAUUGUAAUUCAUAAGCUGUACUUUGGAAAUUUAUAUUCAUUAAAUAAAGGUGUAAAAAAACAUUAGUAGCAUCCACUGACUUUAAAAUAAUGGCCAAAUCUCUUAGCAAGGCCCAAAACAUCAUGCAUGGUCUGGCCCAGCUCACCAGUCUCUAGCCUUGGCCCAGAGCAACUCCCUGUCAUUCAGCUCUGGCCACACUGAACUUCUACCAUUGCCCACAGCUUUGAGGAUCUGCCCCCUACAGAAUGUCAGAUUGCUCACGCCAUCCUACCUGCUCUCAGAGGCCCAUUCACAUCCUUCAUAGCAUUAGCCCCAUUUGCAGUUUUGUGUUUGUGUAGUUACUAUACUUACAGUCUGUCACUAACCCUUAAGGGCCUUGAGGGUUUACUUACUGCUAUUCCCUACAUCGAACAUGGGGCCUGCAUUGUUUGGUGUUCACAUUAUAUGUGUUAAAUGAAUAAAAGGUGUUGUGGGGACAUUUUCAGAUUUCUGAGUGUCUUUGGGUAGGUUUACUCCAAGGUCCCUACUCUCUCUGAGAUCAGGUAAUUCCAUGCUUCUUGUCUAUCCCCCCACCCCCUCCCUGGAUGUCUCAGGAGGGCUCUUAGAUGAGUACUCAGGAGACUUGCUGCAAACUUCUUCAGAUUUAUGAACAGAUGAGUCAGAGACAUAGAAAAUAUGUAAAUUAUCACCCUGACAUUAUCUUUCUCCCCACCACCAACACACGUUAUUUAGAGCAAAUUAAUUAGCAUUUCUAAACCUAUUUUUUCAUUAUAAAAGUUCUUAGAGUUGGUAGAGACCUCAAUUAUAUUUCUAGAUAUAAGUCCAACACAUAAAAAAUAAAAUUAGACCAGCCACAAAUAAGUUAAAUUAUAACUAUAAAAAGAUAUAAGAGCAAUGUGACAAUAUAAGGUACCUAUGAAUCAUCUUAACACAUCUAUGUAAGAUCUUUGUGGAGAAAAUUUAGACGUUUUAUCAAAAGAUAUUGAAGGAGACUUAAGUGAUAAUAGAAAUAGACCACACUCAUGAACUCAGUACAAUCCCAAAUUCUAGAAAUUUUUAUGGAUUGGACAAGCUAAUACUGGAAUUAGAUGAAAAGACAGUGGGCCAAGAAUAAUCAAGACAAUUUUGAAAAAGAAUCAGGAAAUGAAAGCAUGGAGGAAAGAAGGUGCCCAUAAUUGCCUACAGCAAUUAAGACAAUGUGGUUUGCCACAGAGAGAGAACAGAGCAGUCAAAAAGAAUGGAGAGUUCAGAAAGAGAUCCUUGCAUCUUUAGAAAUAAUAUUUAACAAAAUUAAGACCGAAGAUGAGAGAGGAAAGGAUGGUUGAAUCAGUAAAACUGUGCUGGAAUAACUGGGAAUCUGUAUGGAAAAAAAUGAAAAGAGAUCCUCACUUCCUUAAAGCCCCUAAAAUUAUUUCCAGAUGAAUUAAGACAUAAAAGUGAAACACAAAUCUGUAAAAAUUUUAGAAGGAAAUACCGAAGAAUAGCUUCUUGAAGAAUUUCUGAAGCCUGACACAAAGUUCAGCCCUUAAAGGAGAAGAUUUAUAAAUGUGACAUCAUGGAAAUCUCAACGUAUUAAUGAAUACAGGGUCUCAGUGGGGAAGGACCAGAAAGUCCUGGACAUAGAUGCUGGUGAUGCACAGCCACAUGGCUGCACUUAAUGCCACAAAACUGCACCUAAAGAUGGGUAAAAUGCUGUGUAUGUGUUGCCGUAGCUUGAAAGACAUUCCAACACUAUUUAAAAAGUGAAAAGUUACAAGUUGGAAGAAAAAUACUUUCGUGAGUAUCCACAAUAUACAAGAAGCCAAACAAAUAAGUAAAAAGAGACAAAAAGGGAAAGUAAAGAAUCCGUAAGCCCCAUAAAGAGGCAAUGCAUGCAAAACAAAGUCCCUGUGAUCAUAAGCAGCCAUGCUUCCUCAUCUCCAGGGAGCUGUGAACAAACACCUCCACAAGGCAUUUCACACCUUCCAUGGCGGCAAAACUUAAAAUGUCCGACAGUGCUAAACAUUGGCUGGAAUCUGAAAAAUGCGAACUCCUACCCCUGUUGGUAGCUGGUAUAGAACCCUUUAAAACUCACGCUGGCGGGUGUCUGACUGCAAUGGACUGAACGUUGAUGUAUCCCACAAGUCAUGCAUUGAAAUCCUAGCCUCCAAGUGUGUGGCAUCAGGAAGUGGGGCCUUUGGGAGGUCAUGAGGUCAUGAGGGCAGAGUCCUCCUGAAUGGGAUUAGGGUCCUGAUAAAGGAGACCACCCCAGAGAGCUUGUCUGCCCCUUCCACUGUAUGUAGGCACAGCAAGAAGGUGCCCUCUGUGAACUAGAAAUGGGACUCUCACCAGACAGCAGGUCUGCUGGCAUCUUGAUAUUAGCUUUCCCAACCCACAGGACGAUGAGAAGUAAAUUGUUGUUGUUUAGAAGCCACCCAGUCCAGGGAAUUUUGUUACAGAAGCCCAAACAGACUCCAGAGAGCUAAACCCUAAGACUCAGCAAUCCCUCCCCUACGUAGACAUCUUCCAGAAACUCUUGUUCCUCUGUCCAACACAAAGUGAUCACUGACAAAGCCAGCGAUGAAAAACCUAAUUGUUCAUCAACAGACAUAUAAGUACAUUAUAAUAUUGUCAUAUUACAGGAUACACUCCAGUAACGAAAUAAAUCAACAAAGUGGGACUAUUUGUGUUAGUCUGAUACAGCUUAAAAGUUUAAAAAUGAAAGCCAAUCUCAAAAAAAUUCAUACAAUAGCCCAUUAAAUAACAUUUUUAAAUCAGCAAAGCAACAGAGUGGGUUGUAUAGAGAUUCUUAGAAAUGUUAUGAAAGUAUGAAGACCUCUAAGGGAAUGGUAAACACCAAAACCAGUUCAGUGGCUAAUUCAGCACGAGGAAGGUGGAUGUGUGUCUCUCUGCAUUUUUGUGUAUCUGAACUAUUUCAUAGCAAACAUUUUAAAAAUUUAUUUAUUUAUUUAAAAGAGUGGAGAGAGAGAGAGAGAGCGCACUUCCAUUUGCUGGUUCACUCUCCAAAUGACCACAACAGCUGGGACUGGGCCAGGCUGAAACCUGGAGCCAAGAAUUCCAUCCUAGUCUGCCACAUGGGUGGCAGGGGUCUUGGGCCUUCUUCCCAGGUGCAUUAGCAGGGAGUUGGAUCAGAAGCAAAAGCAGCCGGUAUCACAAGGGGCAGCUUAAUCUGUACCACAAAGCUACCCCCUCAUAAUAAACCUUUUAAAAAUACAUAUUUGGAGUGACUGAUCCAACUUGAAAUACAAGAGCUGCCAUGUGGAGUUUUAUGGGGGUUCCUAAGCUGGUGCACUGCUUAGAAUAAAGUCCAGUUUCCUGUCCCCUUUCUGGGCUCAGAGGUUCCCUUAGCGCCCUUGUUGGGCAUUCGCUGAGCAUGUUCUCAAUGGACCCCAGCAAGCACUCAGGCCAAAAAGUUCAAAAGCACAGGCUUUGCCUGUAGUCCUAGGUACUGUGGACAAGAACCUUUAUCCUUCCAUGGGGAGCUAGAAGGAGAAUAAGGUAAUAAGAAUAGAAUGGGUCAAAGGGACCCCAACUUCAGCUGUAAGGCAAGCAUCAUUACAGAUGACCUUGUGCUACUCCGGCUAGAAAGAGAACUGGAGCUGUUGUUCUUUACAGUAGGUGAGCAGAUAGAGCCCCUUUGCCCCACGUAGCCCCAGAAGUGGAGGCAAGCAAGGAAUGGCUGCACUGCCUUCUCUUUCCCCUCCCCACCACACACCUACCUUUCAGCCAUUGCCAAUGGGGGCGUAUGUCUCUUGACAUGAGCUAUGAGAUAACAUGUCCACACAGGGUCUGCUCCUGAAGUUCUCUCUACCAUCUCAUGAGCCCUGCUCCUUCUCAGAGCAUACAGAGCUAGUAGUCUUGAGAAAGAAGAGCUACCAUCAAGACGUGGCCAAUAAAACAAAGGAACACAGGGGCCGGUGAUAUAGCAUAAUGGGUUAAGCCGCUGCCUGUGACGCCAGCAUCCCAUAUGGGCACUGAGUUCUGGCUGCUCCAUUUCCAAUCCAGCUCGCUACUAUUGCACCUUGGAAAGCAGCAGAGGAUGGCCCAAGUGCUUAGGCUCCUGCACCCAUGUGGGAGACCUGGAAGAAGCUCCUGGCUCCUGGUUUCAGCCUGGCCCAGCACUUGUUGUUGUGGCCAUUUAGGACUUAAACAGCAGAUUUAAAAUAUCCCUCUCUCUCUGUAACUGCCUUUCAAACAAAUAAAUAAAUCAAAAAAGGAAAGAAAGGAGCCAGCACCAUGGCUCACUUGGUUAAUCCUCCGCCUGUGGCACCGGCAUCCCAUAUGGGUGCCGGGUUCUAGUCCCAGUUGCUCCUCUUCCAGUCCAGCUCUCAGCAGUGGCCCAGGAGGGCAGUGGAGGAUGGAUCAAGUGUUUGGGCCCCUGCACCCACAUGGGAGACCAGGAAGAAGCACCUGGCUCCUGGCUUCAGAUCGGCACAGUGCCGGCAGUGGUGGCCAUUUGGGGAGUGAACCAACAGAAGGAAGACCUUUCUCUCUGUCCCUCUCUCUCACUGUCUAUAACUCUACCUGUCAAAUAAAUUUAAAAAAGAAAAAGAAAAAGAAAAAGAAAAAGAGAAAGGAAGGAAGGAAGGAAGGAAGAAAGGAAGGAAGGAAGGAAAGUAACUCAGGCCAGAUGUGACAGUAGACAUAUGUUAGGGUUGCCAAGGGAAGGGCACUGUUAGCAGUAUAGAGUUUUUUCAAAGUCAGUUUAUUUAUUUAUUUUCAUCUACUUGAGAGCCAGGGAGAGGAGAAUGAGAGCACUUUCUUUCAUUGGUUACUACCCAAAUGUCUUCAAUAGCCAGAGCUGGACCAGGACAAAGCCAGGAGCCCAUAAUUCCAUCAGGAUCUACCACAUGGGUGUCAGGGUCCCAAGUGCUUGAACCAUCAGCUGCUGCCUCCCAGGAUACAUUAGCAGGAAGUUGGACUGAAAGCAGAGUAGUUGGGAUUCAAACCAGUGCUCGAAUAAGGGAUGUGGCAUCCCCAAGUAGCAGUGCCACAGUGCCUGCCCCAUGGAUAUUUGUUGAGCAUUUGUCCAUUUGGUCCCUUGGUGAAACCGAUAUCUCUUACCCAUCAAUAUGAGACACUGCCCUCUGGUUUCCUUCCACCCAGACUAGAAAGCACCUGUCAGGGCAGAACCCAUCUCCUAGGCUUAGCUUCUGCCAUGGGAUGAAAACUGAAGACCUUCAUAAGAGUUUGUUCUCACUCUCUGUCUCAGUGUAGCCCUGACCCAAAUGCAGGGAAGGGAGGAGGGUGGAGAGAGACACUCCCGGUGAAAAAGAGAGGUGAGGGUGCCAGGGAGAGGAAGCCCCAUCGGCUGCCUGCUGUGCUGCAAGAGGCCAACACCAGGGAAGUAGCUACCCCAGCCACUCACAAUCUACCCCCUAUCCCUCGCCUUUUUG
Oryctolagus cuniculus (rabbit) is the source of this 11810-nucleotide non-coding RNA. The record is from RefSeq and is a predicted model, not a curated record. Lineage: Eukaryota; Metazoa; Chordata; Mammalia; Lagomorpha; Leporidae.